CUGUCCCCGUGUUAUUUGCGGCACGUUCACAAAGCGCCGUGAUUGUCAAAGGGGACGCAUAGCAAUUUGCCAAUAACUCGUUAUUGUGCGCCAAUUACGCAUCCUUGCGGGCGCACAUCUCCAUAUAUUGGCUAUAUAU
Non-coding RNA from Drosophila virilis, 139 nucleotides. Lineage: Eukaryota; Metazoa; Arthropoda; Insecta; Diptera; Drosophilidae. The record is from Rfam.